AAUAGAAAACACACCCCUGGUGGAGAUUUAAGAUGCUAAUGACACAUGCGACGUGUGAGCAAGCAGGUGCAGUUACUGCGCGUGUGCACCCAGAGGACCCCCCCAGAACAUGCUUCCUAGCAACACCUCUGCCCACCCGCUGAUUCUCUCGGCACCACGGGAACCACCUUCUCUACUCUCACUGAACACCCCUGGGAUGUAUCUGUAAAAAUUGGAACACCUUUCGGCUAGGUACAAUAGGGACUUGCCCAGCUGGAGCUGCUCGCACUGGGACUUCACACCAUCCAGGGCCAGAGAAACUGCUCCCCUUAUGGGAGGUCCCAAAUGGAGAGGGGACCAUUAUGACACAUGUCCCAUAAAUGAUCUAAUUUAUAGACUCACAUCUAUAAAUGAUCUAAUCCAAUGGAAGC
Long non-coding RNA from Pan troglodytes (chimpanzee), 410 nucleotides. RefSeq annotates it as long intergenic non-protein coding RNA 2904. The record is from RefSeq and is a predicted model, not a curated record. Lineage: Eukaryota; Metazoa; Chordata; Mammalia; Primates; Hominidae. The transcript is spliced from 3 exons.